RNAcentral lists this long non-coding RNA (245 nucleotides) under Phoenix dactylifera (date palm). RNAcentral's name for it is "long non-coding RNA (PDAC_LNC000058)". The record is from RNAcentral. Lineage: Eukaryota; Viridiplantae; Streptophyta; Magnoliopsida; Arecales; Arecaceae.
GAGAACAUUUUGGUGGUAAUAAGUGUGGGAGGACAGGAGUAUUUUCUGGUUCUUCUCAGUGCAAAUGUAGCCCAGCCUUGAUAUCCUAAAGACCUUAAGACUCCAGAGCCUCAAGGAGACGAUGAAUGAUACACGAACACGGAAGAAAGGUACAGCUGCUUGAUCUUUUAGGCUGCUCUUGGAGAUCAAAAUUCUCAGUUUGUCAUCCAACUCUUUGAUGUUAAGGUUGAGUACAUGGACAACUC